Molecule: transfer RNA, 72 nt
Filed under: Stegodyphus mimosarum
Lineage: Eukaryota; Metazoa; Arthropoda; Arachnida; Araneae; Eresidae
Rfam family: tRNA
About the family: Transfer RNA (tRNA) molecules are approximately 80 nucleotides in length. Their secondary structure includes four short double-helical elements and three loops (D, anti-codon, and T loops).
Source: Rfam by way of RNAcentral
GCCUUCGUGGUGCAAUGGUCAGCACGCUCGGCUCGUAUUCCAGCAGUCCUUGGUUCGAGUCUCAGGAAGGUA